Molecule: ribosomal RNA, 468 nt
Filed under: uncultured bacterium
Lineage: Bacteria
Description: partial 16S ribosomal RNA
Rfam family: Bacterial small subunit ribosomal RNA
Source: RNAcentral
GACGAACGCUGGCGGCGUGCUUAAUACAUGCAAGUCGAACGAAAAGGCCCUGCUCUUGCGGGGCGCUCGAGUGGCGAACGGGUGAGUAACACGUGUGUAACCUCCCCUUGACUUUGUGAUAACUUCAGGAAACUGGGGAUAUUACCGGAUAGGAUAUCCUGCUGCACGGUGGGGGUUGGAAAGUUUCGGCGGUUGGGGCUGGACUCGCGGGUUAUCAGCUUGUUGGUGGGGUAGUGGCUUACCAAGGCUUUGAAGGGUAGCCGGCCUGAGAGGGUUACCGGCGACAUGGGGACUGAGAUACGGCCCAGACUCCUACGGGAGGCAGCAGUGGGAAAUAUUGCACAAUGGGCGGAAGCCUGAUACAGAAACGCCGCGUGCGGGAUGACGGCCUUCGGGUUAUAAACCGCUUUCGAAGGUGACGAAGCGUGAGUGACGGUAAUGGGUAAAGAAGCACCGGCUAACUACGUG